AAGUCGUAACAAGGUAACCGUAGGUGAACCUGCGGUUGGAUCAUUAUUGAAUUUGGGCGUGAGCCCAAUAGUAACUCGAGUCUUUGGACUUGGGUUCGAACCUAUUGUGAACUUGUAUCAGUCAAAGUCGGAGCUCUGGCUUCUUCUUUGGCCUUGAACCUAGUCAUCCUAGUCUUAAUCAAUUAAAUAAUUGAAACAACUUUUGACAACGGAUCUCUUGGCUCUC
RNAcentral lists this unclassified non-coding RNA (226 nucleotides) under fungal sp. RNAcentral's name for it is "partial internal transcribed spacer region". The stretch from base 1 to 46 matches the Rfam family "Eukaryotic small subunit ribosomal RNA", at positions 1786 to 1831 of the family's 1831-position model. Lineage: Eukaryota; Fungi. The record is from RNAcentral.